UUUAUUUGAGAGUUUGAUCCUGGCUCAGGAUGAACGCUGGCGGCGUGCCUAACACAUGCAAGUUGAGCGAUUUACUUCGUAAAGAGCGGCGGACGGGUGAGUAACGCGUGGGUAACCUACCCUGUACACACGGAUAACAUACCGAAAGGUAUGCUAAUACGGGAUAAUAUAUUUGAGAGGCAUCUCUUGAAUAUCAAAGGUGAGCCAGUACAGGAUGGACCCGCGUCUGAUUAGCUAGUUGGUAAGGUAACGGCUUACCAAGGCGACGAUCAGUAGCCGACCUGAGAGGGUGAUCGGCCACAUUGGAACUGAGACACGGUCCAAACUCCUACGGGAGGCAGCAGUGGGGAAUAUUGCACAAUGGGCGAAAGCCUGAUGCAGCAACGCCGCGUGAGUG
This 397-nucleotide ribosomal RNA is filed under the name Clostridioides difficile. Its description in RNAcentral is "bacterial SSU rRNA". It matches the Rfam family "Bacterial small subunit ribosomal RNA", at positions 1 to 407 of the family's 1533-position model. Lineage: Bacteria; Bacillati; Bacillota; Clostridia; Peptostreptococcales; Peptostreptococcaceae. The record is from RNAcentral.